UACGUAGGUGGCAAGCGUUAUCCGGAUUUAUUGGGUGUAAAGGGCGUGUAGGCGGGAGCGCAAGUCAGAUGUGAAAACUCAGGGCUCAACCCUGAGCCUGCAUUUGAACCUGUGUUUCUUGAGUGCUGGAGAGGCAAUCGGAAUUCCGUGUGUAGCGGUGAAAUGCGUAGAUAUACGGAGGAACACCAGUGGCGAAGGCGGAUUGCUGGACAGUAACUGACGCUGAGGCGCGAAAGCGUGGGGAGCAAACAGG
Molecule: ribosomal RNA, 253 nt
Filed under: uncultured bacterium
Lineage: Bacteria
Description: partial 16S ribosomal RNA
Rfam family: Bacterial small subunit ribosomal RNA
Source: RNAcentral